RNAcentral lists this ribosomal RNA (431 nucleotides) under uncultured bacterium. RNAcentral's name for it is "partial 16S ribosomal RNA". It matches the Rfam family "Bacterial small subunit ribosomal RNA", at positions 29 to 505 of the family's 1533-position model. The record is from RNAcentral.
AACGAACGCUGGCGGCAUGCCUAACACAUGCAAGUCGAACGAGACCUUCGGGUCGAGUGGCGCACGGGUGCGUAACGCGUGGGAACCUGCCCUUAGGUUCGGAAUAACUCCCCGUAAGGGGUGCUAAUGCCGGAUAAUGUCGUCGGACCCAAGUAUUGUCGCCUUUGGGUGGGCCCGCGUUGGAUUAGCUAGUUGGUAGGGUAAAAGCCUACCAAGGCGACGAUCCAUAGCUGGUCUGAGAGGCUGAUCAGCCACCCUGGGACUGACACACGGCACAGACUGCGACGAGAGGCCGCAGUGGGGAAUAUUGGACCAGGGGCGAAAGCCGGAUCCAGCAGUGCCGCGGGAGGGGUGCAGGCCUUAGGGUUGUAAAGCUCUUUUCCCCGGGAUGAGAAUGAGAGGACGGUGAGAAUACGCUGCGGCUCUAUGCG